Erwinia billingiae is the source of this 39-nucleotide regulatory RNA element. It matches the Rfam family "nuoG RNA". The record is from Rfam. Lineage: Bacteria; Pseudomonadati; Pseudomonadota; Gammaproteobacteria; Enterobacterales; Erwiniaceae.
GAAUUGAUUAACGCUCGUCUCAGACGAGCCUUACGGAAG